Molecule: ribosomal RNA, 274 nt
Filed under: uncultured bacterium
Lineage: Bacteria
Description: partial 16S ribosomal RNA
Rfam family: Bacterial small subunit ribosomal RNA
Source: RNAcentral
AUACGAAGGGGGCUAGCGUUGCUCGGAAUUACUGGGCGUAAAGAGCACGUAGGUGGUUUAUCAAGUUGGCUGUGAAAUCCCCGGGCUUAACCUGGGUUGGUCAGCCAAUACUGGUAAACUAGAGGCCAAGAGAGGGUAGUGGAAUUUCCGGUGUAGCGGUGAAAUGCAUAGAUAUCGGAAGGAACACCAGUGGCGAAGGCGACUACCUGGCUUGGUUCUGACACUGAGGUGCGAAAGCGUGGGGAGCAAACAGGAUUAGAAACCCCAGUAGUCC